RNAcentral lists this ribosomal RNA (465 nucleotides) under uncultured bacterium. RNAcentral describes it as "bacterial SSU rRNA". It matches the Rfam family "Bacterial small subunit ribosomal RNA", at positions 355 to 825 of the family's 1533-position model. The record is from RNAcentral.
UCGAGAAUCUUCGGCAAUGGGCGAAAGCCUGACCGAGCGAUGCCGCGUGCGGGAUGAAGGCCUUCGGGUUGUAAACCGCUGUCGUAGGGGAGAAAGGGUCGUUGAAGAAACGACUUUGAUCUAUCCUAGGAGGAAGUCCGGGCUAAGUUCGUGCCAGCAGCCGCGGUAACACGAACCGGACAAACGUUAUUCGGAAUUACUGGGCUUAAAGGGUGCGUAGGCGGUGCGGUAAGUGCGGUGUGAAAUCCCACGGCUCAACCGUGGAAUUGCGCUGCAUACUGCCGUGCUAGAGGGAGACAGGGGUAAGCGGAACUGAUGGUGGAGCGGUGAAAUGCGUUGAUAUCAUCAGGAACACCGGUGGCGAAAGCGGCUUACUGGGUCUCUUCUGACGCUGAGGCACGAAAGCUAGGGUAGCGAACGGGAUUAGAUACCCGUGUAGUCCCUGAGCGGGCUGGCAAGGCGCAU